AAAAUAACUAGACAACCUAGAUUAUCCCCAUUUAAAAUGUAUAUAUGGUCACAUAUCUAUCUCAUCGUAACAGAUUCUAUCUUAUCUUUGGAGAUUCAUCUUAUAAGCAUAGUUAUCCCAAUAUAGACACAAAACAACAGAUCAAGCUCUGCCCAUGAUCCUUCAAUUGUGACCAGCUACUAACCUAUCCGUUUGCCCACUAAAUACUUUCCCUUGCAGAACUAUCUUACCAUAUAUUUCUAACCCAGAUGGUCAAUACCAGGAAGGGAGGCGGUAUCGAUCUACCUGCUAACAACCGAAGCAGGAGGACUGUUAACCAACCACAACCAGAGAUGAACCCUCCACCGCUGGAACAGAUCCAGUUGCCGCCUCUCAGAUGCAGCUGUUGUGGGUUGAUUCUGCCCAGCCGGCCCACCUCACCGUGCCAGCCCAGUAUUCGCGCCCACGCACAUUAGCGCCACUGCCCGACCGGGGCCCGCUCGCCAGCGUCCUCCCCUUUUGCGGCGCUCCCGUGGCUACGGUGCCUCCCUCUGUGACAGGUGGGGCCCACAUUGUCAUCCCGCAGCUCGCUCAACAAACAGCCGAAGUCCGUUCGUGGAUCUCCAUGGAUCUCGGGCGAAUGGUUGGCUUUGGUCCUGGGUAUAAGACUGUGCCUGGGCGCGCAUCUAAAUCCAGCUAAACUCCAUGCCUGGUGUUGAGCCGUCUAAUCCUUUGAACCUCACCGUCGCCUGCUUGGGAAAGGACCCACCGUUGGCUCUGCUUUCGCCACGACGAUUGUGGAGCCGAAUUGAAGCUCUGGGGCAAUCGGUGGCGAUUACCAAAACUUGCCACAGCUUUCCGCUGCAAAGAAAUCCACCAUGAAGCUACCAAUUUCUCGCCGUCACUUCUCCUCCGCUGCGAUUUUUCCUUGUACGUGGUCGGCCGCAACCAAGCGUUGAUUCACGGUAAGAAGUCUUCGUCUCGAAUCGUCUCGUCUUCCUGCUUGAGUUGUUCUAGAUGGAAUCUAUGGUUGGGGCUCGGUCGACGUGUGAUUGCCUCCGACGAGGAGCUUAGUCGCGGUGCGGCGGCGCCGCCGAGCUGGGUUCAGUUGGGGGGGGGGGGGGGGGGGGGGAGACGAGUCUAGGACCAUUGAUGGAUCGGCGGGCGGUCCUGAUUUAAUG
Molecule: RNA transcript, 1160 nt
Organism: Zea mays
Lineage: Eukaryota; Viridiplantae; Streptophyta; Magnoliopsida; Poales; Poaceae
Source: RefSeq, marked validated